AGUUUCAUUUUGGCUGAAACUGUAUUUCACACCGAGGGGCGGGGCUAACUGUUGCGAGGCUUUAAAACGGUUCUAAUAAAACACUCUAGUUGAAAUAUUUUUCCUGAUUCUUAUUGCUACAGCGAAGCAACACGCGUCUUCCCUUUUGACUGUCUUGGCUUGUCUGUUGUGAUGUUCGAGGACAUACUACGAUUUCUGAAGCAGUUUCCUGGACUUGGUAGCUCUCGUAGAUCCAGAAGCAAUGCAUCAUGGGAACUGUUUCGUUGUUAAGAAUAUAGACGGCAGCACGGUUUUACGGGUAAUAAUAUUAGUAAUGCUUUAGCGGUCCUUUUAUAUUGGGGUGUUUUACACUAGGAUGUUUAUGUGACGGUUAGUGGUAGAUUUAAUCACCAUGAUGGUAAACGGUGUGUGUGGUGGUGCAGUCGUUGUGCGAUGGUGUAACAAUUCAUACUUACCUGGCAGGGGAGAUACCAUGAUCAAGAAGGUGGUUCACCCAGGGUGAGGCUCAACCAUUGCACUCUCGGUUGUGUUGACCUCUGCGAAUUCCCCAAAUGUGGGAAUCUCGACUGCAUAAUUUCUGGUAGUGGGGGACUGCGUUCGCGCUCUCCCCUGAUAUUCAGUGUACUAAAGUCAGAGUUUUCAGUUAUUUCAGGUAAAUAAUGUUUUAUUUUUUAAUACCUUCUGUAGUAAUAGGUGCAGUACACUGCUUUUUCCUAAGAGAGAAGUGAGGAAUCUGCUGUAAUGUACUUGCAUGGGUCAAUCAUAAUGAAUAUGACAAGCAUUUCUUCUCUGAAAACACACAUGAUUUCAUUUAAAAAUGUCAUACAGUUAAAUUAUGAUGAAUUUAUUUUCUUUUCUAUUCUACUGUAUAUUAAAAAAGGAUGCACUCAGUACUUGGUCAGCGCUCCUUUAGCACGAAUUACUGCGUCAAUGUGGCAUGGCAUGGAGGUAAUCAGCCUGUGGCAUUCUAAAUCUAGAAUGAGGUUAUUAUGUAAGAAAAUGUAUCUUUUUGCAGUAUAAUUGACAAUAUAAUUGAGAUACACUGUAUUUUAAUGCUGCACAUUUUUAAAUGUGUGAAAGGGUCAAGGGACCCAGAAGUCUUAGCAACUAUUGCCAGAGCAGCGUUUUAUUUUACAGACAUCUCAAACACUUUUGAAUUACAAUAUGAUGCAACUUAGUUAUAUAGUCGUAGAUUAUGUGUAUUAUACAAUUUUUCUUUCUUGGCUAAAAGAAAAUGUCAGCCAUUUACCUCAACUCCAUCACAGAUACAGUACCUUGGAUGCAGUACCUGCUUAAUCUGACCUUUGGCAAAUACAAUGGCUAAAGUUUUAAAUGACUGGUGAAGAAUGACGUUGGCUACAUCGAGUAGUAAGUAUGCUGCACUAAACAAUUAAUUUUUUAUAAUUUUUCUUUCAAUAAAUUAAUUAUUAUAUUUUAGUCUGCUUGACCGUCACAUUAAACAAAGUAGCCAUCCUGACAGUAAAGCGAGGUGAAAGAUCUCCUGCUGAGGUAUGUGCAGCUGUUUCCACAGGCCUUCUGCCACCAAUGGAGACUGGGCCACACUUCAGGCUGAUCCGCAAGCUGGGCCUGACCAGGAGAGGAAAAUCGCACAGGAGACGUACUGCUCCUGUGCAAUUGAAGUGAUGAAGGAAGAUGACAUCGCCACCAAGUCACUGAAACACUUCCAUACAUUCAACAAAGAGGCUCCUGCUUCAGCUCCUGUGUGAUGCUCUGCUAUUGAUAGCUCACAGCACCUUAGAAAGACAAGGUACACACACAUAGAGGAGCUUAGCAAGAUCCUUGUUGAGAUUGUCAGAAUUUACUCAGCGCUCUAGGGUAAUGCUCUGUUUGGCCGUACAAACAGAGAUUCAUCUGAGUCAUUGUUGGUGCAAAAGCUGAAGUUCAGCAAACGCUACUUAGCUGCCCACUCGAUAGACUCCUGAAAGAACUGGCUGAUGUAUGGCAUCAUUAAACAGCUUCAUCCUAAUUGUGGAGGAAAUGUUUCAGCAUGUGCAGCAUAGAGUGAUGGUGGAUGAUGCUGAACUCAGCAAACUUGGUAUUCCGAUCCUGAAAAUAAACUCCUAGUGCGUUACUGAGUUUAUCAGAAGCAGCAGGUAUCUGUUCCUCCACUUUCACCAGUGAAGUCAACUCUACUGUGGAAAAAGCAGAGCACAGUGGCACUGGACAUCCGGCUACAUUUAAAGUUUACAUCAGAGCACUGUGUGGCCAACCCACUCAAGGCCACAAAAAGAACAGAAAAAAUACCUGCUGUGAACAUUUGAAGUUGUCCACAAUCAAAGACCUUGCUGGACAGAAAUGUGAGACUUAUGUGGACUAUAAAAAAGCAGUAGACAUUGCCCGGACCCUCAAUCCCUGUAACUUUGUAUAAGCAGAUAUCUUCAAUUGUAUAUACCACUGCACAUAUUGCUGUAACUACUUGACUUGUUUCAAAGUGGUGUUAUAGAAAAAUCUCCAUAAUUAGAACAUUUUUAUUGCCAUUCAAAAGAAGUACCUCAAGUACUUUAAGUUAUUUAUUUAUAUUAUAUUUUAUAGUUUCUCAUUGUUGUUUUCAAAAUACUUGAAAGAUGAAAGUCAUUCAA
This is a long non-coding RNA of Clarias gariepinus (North African catfish), 2600 nucleotides long. RefSeq lists it as uncharacterized. The transcript has 3 exons. The record is from RefSeq and is a predicted model, not a curated record. Lineage: Eukaryota; Metazoa; Chordata; Actinopteri; Siluriformes; Clariidae.